RNAcentral lists this transfer RNA (74 nucleotides) under Candidatus Phytoplasma phoenicium. Its description in RNAcentral is "tRNA-Thr". It matches the Rfam family "tRNA". Rfam says of the family: Transfer RNA (tRNA) molecules are approximately 80 nucleotides in length. Their secondary structure includes four short double-helical elements and three loops (D, anti-codon, and T loops). Further hydrogen bonds mediate the characteristic L-shaped molecular structure. tRNAs have two regions of fundamental functional importance: the anti-codon, which is responsible for specific mRNA codon recognition, and the 3' end, to which the tRNAs corresponding amino acid is attached (by aminoacyl-tRNA synthetases). tRNAs cope with the degeneracy of the genetic code in two manners: having more than one tRNA (with a specific anti-codon) for a particular amino acid; and 'wobble' base-pairing, i.e. permitting non-standard base-pairing at the 3rd anti-codon position. The record is from RNAcentral. Lineage: Bacteria; Bacillati; Mycoplasmatota; Mollicutes; Acholeplasmatales; Acholeplasmataceae.
GCCCUUAUAGUUUAAUGGUAAAAUAUAUCAAUGGUAAUGAUAAGAUACAAGUUCGAUCCUCGUUAAGGGCACCA